UAUAAAUAUUAUAAUAAUUCUGAUUUUAGUCCUACGUCCUUCCUCUGCUUGUUUCUAAGAUUGGUACCUCUCCAGGCUCUGCUGGCAAGAAUGUCUUCUACAUUGCUAUAGCCUUCUCAUGUAUGCAUAUGUGUGUGUUCUGGACUGCAGUUUUCUCUGCACUGGCUUAAUCCUCAGCAUAAUCCUACCUGUUUUCUCUUCCAGAAUGAAUGAGUGCAUUUCAGUGGGAUUUUGUUAGGAAGCGGAGGAAAAUGUAUGUGCUUAGUUUGCCUUGCAUAGACGAAAAGAUGCUCAUCUGCUUCUUCUGGCACAAGGUUCCUAAUAGAAUUUGCAAGUUCAAAAAGAUAUUCUGUAUUUCUUCCACUUGGACCAGCUGCAUUAAAAAUUUGUUCAGCAAUGUCUUCCAGAGGUGCAGGACCAAGAUAAUCAGGAUUAUCACAUGUUCCAAUAUAUAGCAAUACACUGAAUGGUUUUGUUGUGGGAUCUUUUGGAUAAAAAAUGACUGUUGUGGUUCUGUAGCCUCCUUUCUCUCUGAAGUCAAGGUAUGCUUUUACUUCUUCUUCCUUUCCUACUGGCAAUCUGUAAGCAACACCCCAUACACAUCCCUGUUGAAAAAUGAAAAGAAUACACUGGUAUUUAUAAGGCUAAUUAAAAUAGGUGAAGAAAGGUUGUGAUCUAAGAGAGUAUCUCAUAUAUUCUUUUCUG
This 705-nucleotide long non-coding RNA is filed under the name Pan troglodytes (chimpanzee). Its description in RNAcentral is "long non-coding RNA NONPTRT010474". Lineage: Eukaryota; Metazoa; Chordata; Mammalia; Primates; Hominidae. The record is from RNAcentral.